RNAcentral lists this ribosomal RNA (398 nucleotides) under cyanobacterium K16. RNAcentral's name for it is "bacterial SSU rRNA". It matches the Rfam family "Bacterial small subunit ribosomal RNA", at positions 352 to 761 of the family's 1533-position model. The record is from RNAcentral. Lineage: Bacteria; Bacillati; Cyanobacteriota.
CAUUGGAAUUAUUAUCCGCUGUUGAAGAGACCCUGGUUGAGCUAUACGCCGCGGGGAAGGAAGGAUAGAGUUAAAUGCCUACUUUUUCCCGGGAGGACCAACUUCCGGUCUCUCUAGGGAUAUCGGCUUCGGGGAGUGUCGGUGCCACCGGCGGCGUUAUUUCGGAGGAGCCGGGCGUUUUCCGAAAGUUUUGGGCGUAAAGCGUCGGCAGGUGCCCCUCCAAGUCUGCCGUCAAAGUCCGGGGCUUAACUCUAGGAGGGCGGUGGAAACCGUGGGCCUAGUGUCCGGCAGGGGUAGGGGGAUUUCCCGGUGUAGCGGUGAAACGCGUGGAGGGGGGAGGACCACCAGCGGCGAUGGCGCGGUACGGGCGUGACUACCUGGGAAGAGUGGCACUCGCC